CCUACGGGAGGCAGCAGUAAGGAAUAUUGGUCAAUGGACGAAAGUCUGAACCAGCCAUGCCGCGUGGAGGAUGAAUGCCCUCUGGGUUGUAAACUUCUUUUAUAUGGGACGAAAAAGGGCCUUUCUAGGUCAACUGACGGUACCAUGUGAAUAAGCACCGGCUAACUCCGUGCCAGCAGCCGCGGUAAUACGGAGGGUGCAAGCGUUAUCCGGAUUCACUGGGUUUAAAGGGUGCGUAGGUGGGUUGGUAAGUCAGUGGUGAAAUCCCCGAGCUUAACUUGGGAACUGCCAUUGAUACUAUCAGUCUUGAAUACCGUGGAGGUUAGCGGAAUAUGUCAUGUAGCGGUGAAAUGCUUAGAUAUGACAUAGAACACCAAUUGCGAAGGCAGCUAGCUACUCGAAUAUUGACACUGAGGCACGAAAGCGUGGGGAUCAAACAGGAUUAGAUACCCUGGUAGUCCACGCCCUAAACCUAUGGAUACUCGACAUUUGCGAUACACUGUAAGUGUCUGAGNGAAGANAUAGUAGUCCACCGNGGAGUAAGUAGUACGCGAGAGUUAGUUAACGUACGAAGAAGUUAGAGGCGNGAGAGNGCGACGGACGACGACGAGGGAGGAGG
Molecule: ribosomal RNA, 619 nt
Filed under: uncultured bacterium
Lineage: Bacteria
Description: bacterial SSU rRNA
Rfam family: Bacterial small subunit ribosomal RNA (bases 1-534)
Source: RNAcentral